RNAcentral lists this non-coding RNA (31 nucleotides) under Homo sapiens (human). The record is from RNAcentral. Lineage: Eukaryota; Metazoa; Chordata; Mammalia; Primates; Hominidae.
GNGGAGACUCUGCUUCCCUGGUAGCCAGUGC